This 354-nucleotide long non-coding RNA is filed under the name Macaca mulatta (Rhesus monkey). Its description in RNAcentral is "lncRNA (ENSMMUG00000060101.1)". The record is from RNAcentral. Lineage: Eukaryota; Metazoa; Chordata; Mammalia; Primates; Cercopithecidae.
AUGCCCGGCUGCCCCUCUGCCUCAGGGCUGACUGCCUCCAACACUUCAGUGACUUCAUUUACAAGCAAUACAAACUACUGCUGUCCAGGCUUUCUCUGUGCUUCUUGCAUUCUCCUAGAAGAAAACCACUUACGCCUAGGAGUUUGGAAUCUGGCAAGGCACUUAGAGGCUCCCAGAAAAUCCCCAAGAGAAGGAAGGCCUGCAGAUGGGGAAAGAUACAAGACAGAUGCACACCUUGUUACCUUAGGAAAAACACUUCAACUUCAAGAAUCUUUGGUCAUCAUCUGUAAGAUGAGGUCAACUACUUCUAAACCACAAGGUGGUUCAGAAAAUUCAAAGAUGUCAGGUGAGUAA